RNAcentral lists this ribosomal RNA (464 nucleotides) under uncultured bacterium. RNAcentral describes it as "partial 16S ribosomal RNA". It matches the Rfam family "Bacterial small subunit ribosomal RNA", at positions 29 to 507 of the family's 1533-position model. The record is from RNAcentral.
ACGAACGCUGGCGGCGUGCUUAACACAUGCAAGUCGAACGGAAAGGCCCCUUUGGGGGUACUCGAGUGGCGAACGGGUGAGUAACACGUGAGUAACCUGCCCUUGACUUCGGGAUAACUUCAGGAAACUGGGGCUAAUACCGGAUAGGAAUCCUUGCUGCAUGGUGGGGAUUGGAAAGCUUCGGCGGUUUUGGAUGGACUCGCGGCUUAUCAGCUUGUUGGUGGGGUAGUGGCUUACCAAGGCUUUGACGGGUAGCCGGCCUGAGAGGGCGACCGGCCACAUUGGGACUGAGAUACGGCCCAGACUCCUACGGGAGGCAGCAGUGGGGAAUAUUGCACAAUGGGCGGAAGCCUGAUGCAGCAACGCCGCGUGCGGGAUGACGGCCUUCGGGUUGUAAACCGCUUUCAGCAGGGGCGAAGCUUGUGGUGACGGUACCUGCAGAAGAAGCACCGGCUAACUACGUG